This 430-nucleotide long non-coding RNA is filed under the name Homo sapiens (human). RNAcentral's name for it is "PREDICTED lncRNA (TCONS_00032652)". Lineage: Eukaryota; Metazoa; Chordata; Mammalia; Primates; Hominidae. The record is from RNAcentral.
UUGUGUUUUUUGUUGUUGUUGUUUUAAGCCCUGGGCUUUCCAGGCUGAACUUUCUCACUACCAUUACACUGAAAAAGAGCCCUUGAAAGUUUUGCUCGGAUCUUGCACAUUCUUUUGGAAGUCUUACUGUGGAAAUUGUCCGUGUUUUCAGCUUCCACAUCCCUUUCUCCUGGGAGAUUUCUUUUCCGUUUUUUUUACUUUGUCUCUUUUCUUUCCUCCGCAACUGCUUUGUUGUUGUUGUUGUUGUUUCUUGUAAACCACUUCUCAAAAGUGAACUAGUUGCCGUUUAAUAGAAGUUUGGAUGAACUGCCCCCAAAAUAAAGGAAAUCCGAACAGUCAUGGAAGUUGACUCCAAUUGGAGGGAUGGCUCUGAUCAAUUACUCUUUCCACAGGUCUAACUGUGUCAUCCAGGCUGUAGCGCAGUGGUGUG